Molecule: ribosomal RNA, 223 nt
Filed under: uncultured bacterium
Lineage: Bacteria
Description: partial 16S ribosomal RNA
Rfam family: Bacterial small subunit ribosomal RNA
Source: RNAcentral
UAACACGUGGUCAACCUACCCGCGAUGGGGGAUAACUAGCCGAAAGGUUAGCUAAUACCGCAUAAAACGUAGCGAGGCAUCUCGCAACGUUGAAAGGAGCAAUCCGCUCAUGGACGGGACCGCGUCCGAUUAGCUUGUUGGUGAGGUAAUGGCUCACCAAGGCUCCGAUCGGUAGCUGGUUUGAGAGAGCGACCAGCCACACUGGGACUGAGAGACGGCCCAG